UCGACACAAGUAAAAGCCCCCAGACAAAACUGUAGCCUGUGCAAGAUCAGUAGGAGUCCCCACGUGUCAGCUGAGAGGUCUGAUCACCCUCUUAGCCAGGGAACCCCUCAGUUUUUGCCGGCUCAUGUCGUAUCGUAUAAACAAAGCCACGCCCCCUAAUUCACUAUGUGCUUGAUGUCUAUACUGCUGGUCGGUUACAUCUGGAAGUGUGGGCACAAAUCUAAUGUUCUGUUGCAAUGGUGUCUCAAGUCAUUAAGUCCAGGAUCAUACAAUAAAAGGCUUCAACAUCAGUUCAUCUGGGAAAAUAUAAUUCCAAAGAAAAGAAAAGAAAAGAACACCACCACAGAGAAAAGUUAUCUGAUCCAUCCAUAUGGUAUUCUAGUCCAGUGAACUUAAGCUAUUCCUUUUCUGGAUUUGAAAUAAGAAAACUUAUUGAGAAAGCACAUUAAAUGGACUGUCAUGGAAGCAAUCUCGAUCACAUGAAUGUCUUGCAUUCUGGAACUAGAACAUCUGUUUGCUAUCCAAAUGUCAUGAAGAAUAAACUUCAAAACUGCA
This is a long non-coding RNA of Gopherus flavomarginatus (Mexican gopher tortoise), 555 nucleotides long. RefSeq lists it as uncharacterized. The record is from RefSeq and is a predicted model, not a curated record. The transcript has 2 exons. Lineage: Eukaryota; Metazoa; Chordata; Testudines; Testudinidae.